GUAGGUGAACCUGCGGAAGGAUCAUUACAGAGUAUCAUGCCCUCACGGGUAGAUCUCCACCCUUGAAUAACAUACCUCUGUUGCUCUGGCAGGCCCCAUUUCCAGCGGCCUCGGCUGUUGAGUGCCCGCCAGAGACCCCCAAACUCUGAAUAUUGUCGUCUGAGUAAUAUAUAAUAAGUUAAAACUUUCAACAACGGAUCUCUUGGUUCUG
This 211-nucleotide unclassified non-coding RNA is filed under the name rhizosphere metagenome. RNAcentral's name for it is "partial ribosomal RNA internal transcribed spacer region". The record is from RNAcentral.